Molecule: small RNA, 90 nt
Filed under: Flavobacterium degerlachei
Lineage: Bacteria; Pseudomonadati; Bacteroidota; Flavobacteriia; Flavobacteriales; Flavobacteriaceae
Description: Flavo-1 RNA
Rfam family: Flavo-1 RNA
Source: RNAcentral
CCCUAGCCCAGAUGGAAGUGGAAAUCCUUAUGUGCUGGUACCGAAACCCCGGGACGGCACAUAAGAUUGCAACAAACAGCUGGAAAUAGC